GAUGAACGCUGGCGGCGUGCCUAACACAUGCAAGUCGAACGGAGAUUACGGACGGAAGUUUUCGGAUGGAAGACUGUAAUUCUUAGUGGCGGACGGGUGAGUAACGCGUGGGCAACCUGCCCUAUACAGGGGGAUAGCAGCUGGAAACGGCUGGUAAGACCGCAUAAGUCGGCGAGACCGCAUGGUUUUGCCGGGAAAUGAGCAAUCAGGUAUAGGAUGGGCCCGCGUCCGAUUAGCCAGUUGGUAGGGUAAAAGCCUACCAAAGCAACGAUCGGUAGCCGGACUGAGAGGUCGGACGGCCACAUUGGGACUGAGACACGGCCCAAACUCCUACGGGAGGCAGCAGUGGGGGAUAUUGCACAAUGGAGGAAACUCUGAUGCAGCGACGCCGCGUGAGUGAAGAAGUAUUUCGGUAUGUAAAGCUCUAUCAGCAGGGAAGAUGAUGACGGUACCUGACUAAGAAGCCCCGGCUAACUACGUG
This 481-nucleotide ribosomal RNA is filed under the name uncultured bacterium. Its description in RNAcentral is "partial 16S ribosomal RNA". It matches the Rfam family "Bacterial small subunit ribosomal RNA", at positions 28 to 507 of the family's 1533-position model. The record is from RNAcentral.